GAAUCAAAUUACUGAUCGUGCUAUGGUACAUACUGGUUUUAUUGAUUCUUCCCUUCUGACGAACGCCAUUAAUUUGGUGUCAUGGGGAAUCUGGACUGUUUACUUUGAAAAAAUUAGAGUGUUUAAAGCAGGCUCACGCUUGAAUACAUUAGCAUGGAAUAAUGAAAUAGGACGUUUGAUUCUAUUUUGUUGGUUUCUAGGAUCGACGUA
This 210-nucleotide ribosomal RNA is filed under the name uncultured Glomus. Its description in RNAcentral is "partial 18S ribosomal RNA". It matches the Rfam family "Eukaryotic small subunit ribosomal RNA", at positions 632 to 864 of the family's 1831-position model. Lineage: Eukaryota; Fungi; Glomeromycota; Glomeromycetes; Glomerales; Glomeraceae. The record is from RNAcentral.